AUACCGUGAUGAGGGAUUUUCAUAAUAACUCAUUGAACCACUCCCAUGCCUUAUAUAAAGAUUCUAUAUCAAGUUGUUGAAAUGAAGUGAUUUCAUUUCGAAUCU
Non-coding RNA from Gossypium raimondii (Peruvian cotton), 105 nucleotides. The record is from Rfam. NCBI's taxonomy places the organism in Eukaryota, Viridiplantae, Streptophyta, Magnoliopsida, Malvales, Malvaceae.